This 378-nucleotide ribosomal RNA is filed under the name uncultured eukaryote. Its description in RNAcentral is "partial 18S ribosomal RNA". It matches the Rfam family "Eukaryotic small subunit ribosomal RNA", at positions 592 to 975 of the family's 1831-position model. The record is from RNAcentral.
CAAUAGCGUAUAUUAAAGUUGUUGCGGUUAAAAAGCUCGUAGUUGGAUUUCUGCUGAGAACGACCGGUCCGCCCUUUGGGUGUGUAUCUGGCUCUUUCUUGGCAUCUUCUUGGUGAACGUUGCUGCACUUGACUGUGUGGAGCGCUACCCAGGACUUUUACUUUGAGGAAAUUAGAGUGUUUCAAGCAGGCAUACGCCUUGAAUACAUUAGCAUGGAAUAAAAAGAUAGGACCUCGGUUCUAUUUUGUUGGUUUCUAGAGCUGAGGUAAUGAUUAAUAGGGAUAGUUGGGGGCAUUCGUAUUUAACUGUCAGAGGCGAAAUUCUUGGAUUUGUUAAAGACGGACUACUGCGAAAGCAUUUGCCAAGGAUGUUUCAUUG